CAAAAUGAGAACUAGCUGAACGUGCCUGAUCGCAUCUGAUCUUGGAAGCUAAGUAGGGUUGGACCUGGUUUAGUACUUGGAUGGGAGACGGCCUGUGAAUACUGAGUGAUGU
This 112-nucleotide ribosomal RNA is filed under the name Prolemur simus (greater bamboo lemur). The record is from RNAcentral. Lineage: Eukaryota; Metazoa; Chordata; Mammalia; Primates; Lemuridae.